RNAcentral lists this ribosomal RNA (215 nucleotides) under uncultured bacterium. Its description in RNAcentral is "partial 16S ribosomal RNA". It matches the Rfam family "Bacterial small subunit ribosomal RNA", at positions 524 to 735 of the family's 1533-position model. The record is from RNAcentral.
UACGUAGGGGGCAAGCGUUGUCCGGAAUCAUUGGGCGUAAAGAGCGCGUAGGCGGCCCUGUAAGUCCGCUGUGAAAGUCAAGGGCUCAACCCUUGAAUGCCGGUGGAUACUGCAGGGCUAGAGUCCGGAAGAGGCGAGUGGAAUUCCUGGUGUAGCGGUGAAAUGCCGCAGAUAUCAAGGAGGGAACGCCUAUUGCGAAGGCAGCUCGCUGGGAC